GUGCCAGCCGCCGCGGUAAUACGGAGGGUGCGAGCGUUAAUCGGAAUUACUGGGCGUAAAGCGCACGCAGGCGGAUUGUUAAGCUAGAGGUGAAAGCCCCGCGCUCAACGUGGGAAUUGCCUUUAGAACUGGCAGUCUAGAGUCUUGGGGAGGGGAGUGGAAUUCCAGGUGUAGCGGUGAAAUGCGUAGAGAUCUGGAGGAACAUCAGUGGCGAAGGCGACUCCCUGGCCAAAGACUGACGCUCAUGUGCGAAAGUGUGGGUAGCGAACAGGAUUAGAUACCCGUGUAGUCCA
This 293-nucleotide ribosomal RNA is filed under the name uncultured Aestuariibacter sp. RNAcentral's name for it is "partial 16S ribosomal RNA". It matches the Rfam family "Bacterial small subunit ribosomal RNA", at positions 505 to 797 of the family's 1533-position model. Lineage: Bacteria; Pseudomonadati; Pseudomonadota; Gammaproteobacteria; Alteromonadales; Alteromonadaceae. The record is from RNAcentral.